RNAcentral lists this ribosomal RNA (1560 nucleotides) under Listeria monocytogenes. RNAcentral's name for it is "bacterial SSU rRNA". It matches the Rfam family "Bacterial small subunit ribosomal RNA". Lineage: Bacteria; Bacillati; Bacillota; Bacilli; Caryophanales; Listeriaceae. The record is from RNAcentral.
UAUUUUAAAGAGAGUUUGAUCCUGGCUCAGGACGAACGCUGGCGGCGUGCCUAAUACAUGCAAGUCGAACGAACGGAGGAAGAGCUUGCUCUUCCAAAGUUAGUGGCGGACGGGUGAGUAACACGUGGGCAACCUGCCUGUAAGUUGGGGAUAACUCCGGGAAACCGGGGCUAAUACCGAAUGAUAAAGUGUGGCGCAUGCCACGCUUUUGAAAGAUGGUUUCGGCUAUCGCUUACAGAUGGGCCCGCGGUGCAUUAGCUAGUUGGUAGGGUAAUGGCCUACCAAGGCAACGAUGCAUAGCCGACCUGAGAGGGUGAUCGGCCACACUGGGACUGAGACACGGCCCAGACUCCUACGGGAGGCAGCAGUAGGGAAUCUUCCGCAAUGGACGAAAGUCUGACGGAGCAACGCCGCGUGUAUGAAGAAGGUUUUCGGAUCGUAAAGUACUGUUGUUAGAGAAGAACAAGGAUAAGAGUAACUGCUUGUCCCUUGACGGUAUCUAACCAGAAAGCCACGGCUAACUACGUGCCAGCAGCCGCGGUAAUACGUAGGUGGCAAGCGUUGUCCGGAUUUAUUGGGCGUAAAGCGCGCGCAGGCGGUCUUUUAAGUCUGAUGUGAAAGCCCCCGGCUUAACCGGGGAGGGUCAUUGGAAACUGGAAGACUGGAGUGCAGAAGAGGAGAGUGGAAUUCCACGUGUAGCGUGAAAUGCGUAGAUAUGUGGAGGAACACCAGUGGCGAAGGCGACUCUCUGGUCUGUAACUGACGCUGAGGCGCGAAAGCGUGGGGAGCAAACAGGAUUAGAUACCUGGUAGUCCACGCCGUAAACGAUGAGUGCUAAGUGUUAGGGGGUUUCCGCCCCUUUAGUGCUGCAGCUAACGCAUUAAGCACUCCGCGUGGGGAGUACGACCGCAAGGUUGAAACUCAAAGGAAUUGACGGGGGCCCGCACAAGCGGUGGAGCAUGUGGUUUAAUUCGAAGCAACGCGAAGAACCUUACCAGGUCUUGACAUCCUUUGACCACUCUGGAGACAGAGCUUUCCCUUCGGGGACAAAGUGACAGGUGGUGCAUGGUUGUCGUCAGCUCGUGUCGUGAGAUGUUGGGUUAAGUCCCGCAACGAGCGCAACCCUUGAUUUUAGUUGCCAGCAUUUAGUUGGGCACUCUAAAGUGACUGCCGGUGCAAGCCGGAGGAAGGUGGGGAUGACGUCAAAUCAUCAUGCCCCUUAUGACCUGGGCUACACACGUGCUACAAUGGAUAGUACAAAGGGUCGCGAAGCCGCGAGGUGGAGCUAAUCCCAUAAAACUAUUCUCAGUUCGGAUUGUAGGCUGCAACUCGCCUACAUGAAGCCGGAAUCGCUAGUAAUCGUGGAUCAGCAUGCCACGGUGAAUACGUUCCCGGGCCUUGUACACACCGCCCGUCACACCACGAGAGUUUGUAACACCCGAAGUCGGUAGGGUAACCUUUAUGGAGCCAGCCGCCGAAGGUGGGACAGAUAAUUGGGGUGAAGUCGUAACAAGGUAGCCGUAUCGGAAGGUGCGGCUGGAUCACCUCCUUUCUAAGGAA